RNAcentral lists this ribosomal RNA (850 nucleotides) under Pseudoclavibacter sp. S2.TSA.005. Its description in RNAcentral is "bacterial SSU rRNA". It matches the Rfam family "Bacterial small subunit ribosomal RNA", at positions 18 to 872 of the family's 1533-position model. Lineage: Bacteria; Bacillati; Actinomycetota; Actinomycetes; Micrococcales; Microbacteriaceae. The record is from RNAcentral.
CCUGGCUCAGGACGAACGCUGGCGGCGUGCUUAACACAUGCAAGUCGAACGAUGAUGCUGGAGCUUGCUUCAGCGGAUUAGUGGAGAACGGGUGAGUAAGACGUGAGCAACGUGCCCAUGACUCUGGGAUAACGUCCGGAAACGGACGCUAAUACCGGAUACGAGACUCCGCCGCAUGGUGUGGGUCUGGAAAGACUUGUUUGGUCAUGGAUCGGCUCACGGCCUAUCAGCUUGUUGGUGGGGUAAUGGCUCACCAAGGCGACGACGGGUAGCCGGCCUGAGAGGGUGACCGGCCACACUGGGACUGAGACACGGCCCAGACUCCUACGGGAGGCAGCAGUGGGGAAUAUUCCACAAUGGGCGAAAGCCUGAUGCAGCAACGCCGCGUGGGGGAUGACGGCCUUCGGGUUGUAAACCCCUUUUGUCAGGGAAGAAGCCGUAAGGUGACGGUACCUGGAGAGAGAAGCACCGGCUAACUACGUGCCAGCAGCCGCGGUAAUACGUAGGGUGCAAGCGUUGUCCGGAAUUAUUGGGCGUAAAGAGCUCGUAGGCGGUUUGUCGCGUCUGCUGUGAAAGCCCGAGGCUCAACCUCGGGUCUGCAGUGGGUACGGGCAGACUAGAGUGCGGUAGGGGAGAUUGGAACUCCUGGUGUAGCGGUGGAAUGCGCAGAUAUCAGGAAGAACACCGAUGGCGAAGGCAGAUCUCUGGGCCGUUACUGACGCUGAGGAGCGAAAGCAUGGGGAGCGAACAGGAUUAGAUACCCUGGUAGUCCAUGCCGUAAACGUUGGGCGCUAGAUGUGGGGGACUUUCCACGUUCUCCGUGUCGUAGCUAACGCAUUAAGCGCCCCGC